Molecule: ribosomal RNA, 200 nt
Filed under: uncultured prokaryote
Description: partial 16S ribosomal RNA
Rfam family: Bacterial small subunit ribosomal RNA
Source: RNAcentral
GGUCAAAUCAUCAUGCCCCUUAUGUCCUGGGCUUCACACGUACUACAAUGGCGGUCAACAACGGGUCGCAGAGCCGCGAGGCCGAGCCAAUCCCCAAAAGCCGCCUCAGUUCAGAUUGCAGGCUGCAACUCGCCUGCAUGAAGUUGGAAUUGCUAGUAAUCGCGAAUCAGCAUGUCGCGGUGAAUACGUUCCCGGGCAUU